GAGUCGGUCAGGCGAUCGCCCGGCCACCAGUGCGUGGCGGGGAGGAAAGUCCGGGCUCCACAGGGCAGGGUGCCAGGUAACACCUGGGGGGCGCGAGCCUACGGAAAGUGCAACAGAAAGGAUACCGCCUCCCCGUUUCGACAGGGGGGUAAGGGUGAAAAGGUGCGGUAAGAGCGCACCGCGCGGCUGGCAACAGGCGUGGCGAUGGUAAACCCCACCCGGAGCAAGACCAAAUAGGAAUCCGUCAGCUGUGGCCCACAGCGGAUUCGGGUAGGUCGCUACAGGCAGGUGGUGACACCUGUCGCAGAUGAAUGAUCGUCCACGACAGAACCCGGCUUAUCGACCGACUCGUC
Molecule: RNase P RNA, 353 nt
Filed under: uncultured Halioglobus sp.
Lineage: Bacteria; Pseudomonadati; Pseudomonadota; Gammaproteobacteria; Cellvibrionales; Halieaceae
Description: Bacterial RNase P class A
Rfam family: Bacterial RNase P class A
About the family: Ribonuclease P (RNase P) is a ubiquitous endoribonuclease, found in archaea, bacteria and eukarya as well as chloroplasts and mitochondria.
Source: RNAcentral